AGAGUUUGAUCCUGGCUCAGGAUGAACGCUAGCUACAGGCUUAACACAUGCAAGUCGUGGGGCAGCAUGAUCAAAGCUUGCUUUGAUUGAUGGCGACCGGCGCACGGGUGAGUAACGCGUAUCCAACCUUCCCCUUAGUAGGGCAUAGCCCGUAGAAAUGCGGAUUAAUACCCUAUGUUGUUCGUAGAGGACAUCUGAAAUGAACCAAAGGUUUACCGCUAAGGGAUGGGGAUGCGUCUGAUUAGGUAGUCGGCGGGGUAACGGCCCACCGAGCCAUCGAUCAGUAGGGGUUCUGAGAGGAAGGUCCCCCACAUUGGAACUGAGACACGGUCCAAACUCCUACGGGAGGCAGCAGUGAGGAAUAUUGGUCAAUGGGCGUAAGCCUGAACCAGCCAAGUAGCGUGCAGGAUGACGGCCCUAUGGGUUGUAAACUGCUUUUAUACGGGGAUAAAGUGUGCCACGCGUGGCAUAUUGCAGGUACCGUAUGAAUAAGGACCGGCUAAUUCCGUGCCAGCAGCCGCGGUAAUACGGAAGGUCCGGGCGUUAUCCGGAUUUAUUGGGUUUAAAGGGAGCGCAGGCGGGCUUUUAAGCGUGACGUGAAAUGUAGUCGCUCAACGGCUGAACUGCGUCGCGAACUGGGGGCCUUGAGUGCAUUCGACGUCAGCGGAAUUCGUGGUGUAGCGGUGAAAUGCUUAGAUAUCACGAAGAACUCCGAUUGCGAAGGCAGCUGACGAGACUGUAACUGACGCUAAAGCUCGAAGGUGCGGGUAUCGAACAGGAUUAGAUACCCUGGUAGUCCGCACGGUAAACGAUGGAUGCCCGCUGUCGGCGACACACUGUCGGCGGCCAAGCGAAAGCGUUAAGCAUCCCACCUGGGGAGUACGCCGGCAACGGUGAAACUCAAAGGAAUUGACGGGGGCCCGCACAAGCGGAGGAACAUGUGGUUUAAUUCGAUGAUACGCGAGGAACCUUACCCGGGCUUGAACUGCCGGCGAACGAUUCAAAGAUGAUGAGGUCCUUCGGGA
Molecule: ribosomal RNA, 1025 nt
Filed under: uncultured rumen bacterium
Lineage: Bacteria
Description: bacterial SSU rRNA
Rfam family: Bacterial small subunit ribosomal RNA
Source: RNAcentral